Non-coding RNA from Arachis ipaensis, 256 nucleotides. NCBI's taxonomy places the organism in Eukaryota, Viridiplantae, Streptophyta, Magnoliopsida, Fabales, Fabaceae. The record is from RefSeq and is a predicted model, not a curated record.
GGCUGGUUUUGGCUGAUUUUCUUUGGUUACUAAACAUUUCCGUUUAUUUUAUUCUCCAAGUUCUUGAACACGACAAGUAAACAAACUAUGUCCGAUCUUCUUAAGUUCCGAAGCAAUGAUGAAUGCUAAUCACAUCAUCACCAAAUAUAUGUAUGUGUAUGUAUAUAUGCAUGCAUGGGAGUGUGAGUGAGUGAGCGAGCGAGUGAGAGCUAGAGAGAGAGAUGUUGGAAGGUAAGUGAUGAACUUAAUACUACAG